AUGAAAAUAAGUGGAUGGAAAGAAAAUUUGUUAUCCGCCGGAGGAAAGGAAAUAUUGCUCAAAUCUAUUGUACAAGCUAUCCCAGCUUAUGCCAUGUCCGUCUUUAAAAUUCCAAAAAAAAAUUGUAAAGGAAUUAUCGACGCGAUGUCACAAUUUUUGUGGGGUGACGAGGACAACAAGAAGAGAAUGCAUUGGAUGGCAUGGUGGAAGAUAUGUGUACCAAAAAAAUCAAGGAGGUAUGGGUUUUAG
Molecule: ribosomal RNA, 249 nt
Filed under: Triticum aestivum (bread wheat)
Lineage: Eukaryota; Viridiplantae; Streptophyta; Magnoliopsida; Poales; Poaceae
Description: partial small subunit ribosomal RNA
Source: RNAcentral